Molecule: ribosomal RNA, 441 nt
Filed under: uncultured bacterium
Lineage: Bacteria
Description: partial 16S ribosomal RNA
Rfam family: Bacterial small subunit ribosomal RNA
Source: RNAcentral
CCUACGGGUGGCAGCAGUGGGGAAUAUUGCACAAUGGGCGAAAUCCUGAUGCAGCGACGCAGCGUGCGUGAAGAAGGAUUUCGGAUUGUAAAGCUCUAUCAGCAGGGAAGAACCAAGACGAUACCUGACUAUGAAGCACCGGCUAAAUACGUGCAAGCAGCCGCGGUAAUACGUAGGGGGCAAGCGUCAUCCGGAUUUACUGGGGGUACAGGGUGUGUAGACGGUUUUGCAAGUCUGAUGUGAAAGCCCAGGGGUUAACCCUGGGACUGCUUUGGAUACUGGUAGACUAGAGUGCUGGAGAGGUAAGUGGAAUUCCUAGUGUAGCGGUGAAAUGCGUAGAUAUUAGGAAGAACACCAGUGGCGAAGGCAGCUUACUGGACAGUAACUGACGUUGAGGCUCGAAAGCGUGGGGAGCAAACAGGAUUAGAUACCCUGGUAGUC